GACGAACGCUGGCGGCGUGCUUAACACAUGCAAGUCGAACGGAAAGGCCCUGCUUGCAGGGUACUCGAGUGGCGAACGGGUGAGUAACACGUGGGUGAUCUGCCCUGCACUUCGGGAUAAGCCUGGGAAACUGGGUCUAAUACCGGAUAGGAGCCAUUUUUAGUGUGAUGGUUGGAAAGUUUUUUCGGUGUAGGUUGAGCUCGCGGCCUAUCAGCUUGUUGGUGGGGUAAUGGCCUACCAAGGCGGCGACGGGUAGCCGGCCUGAGAGGGUGGACGGCCACAUUGGGACUGAGAUACGGCCCAGACUCCUACGGGAGGCAGCAGUGGGGAAUAUUGCACAAUGGGCGCAAGCCUGAUGCAGCGACGCCGCGUGGGGGAUGACGGCCUUCGGGUUGUAAACUCCUUUCGCUAGGGACGAAGCUUUUUGUGACGGUACCUAGAUAAGAAGCACCGGCUAACUACGU
Molecule: ribosomal RNA, 464 nt
Filed under: uncultured bacterium
Lineage: Bacteria
Description: partial 16S ribosomal RNA
Rfam family: Bacterial small subunit ribosomal RNA
Source: RNAcentral